AUAAAAAGGUUAGAGGAGGAAAUUUCUCAAAAGAAUCAAUAGAAAGGUGGUGGCGGAGGCGAAGCAUAUGAGACUCCAAACACUGGUGGCAAUGGCCCCUCGUACACUGGUGCUGGAGGCGGUGGACUUUCAUAAACAAUUGGCGGCGGUGGAGUAUACUGGUGGCGGCGGCGGUGGUGGUGAAAGAACUGGCGGAGGAGGUGGAGGUGACGGUGAUGGUGGUGGUGGCGGCGGUGGUGGUUGCGGUACUACAACUGGUGGUGGUGGUGGUGAAAUAACUGGCGGAGGAGGUGGAGGUGAGGGUGAUGGUGGCGGCGGUGAUUGCGGUAUUACAACUGGUGGUGGUGGUGAGGGCACCGGCAUUGGUGGAGAUGGGGGAGGUGGCGGCGGCAAGGUAGGAACAAAGGGUUUACAUUUAAAUGAAGAACAAUCCACGCGCUUGGACAGGAAUGACUUACAUUGCGCUGAAGACCUCUGUGCUGGCCUUGCUGGCAAGCAAUUCCUCCUGUCAUCAAAAGCUUGUAAGCUCAAGCAAACCGGCGGCUCCCCGGUGAAGAAAUUGUACGAGAAUGUGAAGUUCUGCAAGUUAGGCAGCCGACAAAUGCUCGCCGGGAUUGUGCCAGAGAGCAUGUUGUGAGCCACAUUGAGCUGUUCCAAGCUCACCAUUCUUCCAAUCGUGUCCGGCAAAGGACCCAGAAGCUGA
This 703-nucleotide long non-coding RNA is filed under the name Citrus x clementina. RNAcentral's name for it is "Citrus clementina (C. clementina) long non-coding RNA (CCLE_LNC006499)". The record is from RNAcentral. Lineage: Eukaryota; Viridiplantae; Streptophyta; Magnoliopsida; Sapindales; Rutaceae.